Molecule: ribosomal RNA, 292 nt
Filed under: uncultured bacterium
Lineage: Bacteria
Description: partial 16S ribosomal RNA
Source: RNAcentral
GGACUACUGGGGUUUCUAAUCCCGUUCGCUACCCACGCUUUCGUGUCUCAGUGUCAGGAAUGCCCCAGUCGAGUGCCUUCGCUUUUGGUGUUCCCCAUGAUAUCAACGGAUUUCACCCCUACUCCAUGAGUUCCCUCGACCUCUUGCAUCCUCUAGCAAUGCCGUUUCCUCUGCAGAACCCCGGUUGAGCCGAAGAAUUUGACAGAAGACUAACAUCGCCACCUACACACCCUUUACGCCCAAUAAUUCCGGAUAACGCUUGGGGCACUCGUAUUACCGCGGCUGCUGGCAC